RNAcentral lists this non-coding RNA (186 nucleotides) under Clostridiales bacterium. Lineage: Bacteria; Bacillati; Bacillota; Clostridia; Eubacteriales. The record is from RNAcentral.
UUAAUUUGUUUGUAAUAUUAUAUUAGUGAAGAGAUAUUUAGCGAUUACGCACAAGGAAUCCGGUUAGAAUCCGGAACAGCUACCUCUACUGUAUUUAAGUAAGGUUCGAUUACAUGCCACUUAACGGGAAGGCAAUCGAAUUUGAAGCUUAUAAGUCAGGAUACUUGAAAUGUCUCAAAAUAUUUU